RNAcentral lists this ribosomal RNA (253 nucleotides) under uncultured bacterium. RNAcentral describes it as "partial 16S ribosomal RNA". It matches the Rfam family "Bacterial small subunit ribosomal RNA", at positions 524 to 776 of the family's 1533-position model. The record is from RNAcentral.
UACGAAGGGGGCUAGCGUUGUUCGGAAUUACUGGGCGUAAAGCGCGCGCAGGCGGCUAUCCAAGUCAGUGGUGAAAGCCCGGAGCUCAACUCCGGAACUGCCAUUGAAACUGUUUAGCUUGAGGACGAGAGAGGUGAGUGGAAUUCCCAGUGUAGAGGUGAAAUUCGUAGAUAUUCGGUGGAACACCGGUGGCGAAGGCGGCCACCUGGACGAUUACUGACGCUGAGACGCGAAAGCGUGGGGAGCAAACAGG